RNAcentral lists this ribosomal RNA (468 nucleotides) under uncultured bacterium. Its description in RNAcentral is "partial 16S ribosomal RNA". It matches the Rfam family "Bacterial small subunit ribosomal RNA", at positions 28 to 507 of the family's 1533-position model. The record is from RNAcentral.
GACGAACGCUGGCGGCGUGCUUAACACAUGCAAGUCGAACGGAAAGGCCCUGCUUUUGUGGGGUGCUCGAGUGGCGAACGGGUGAGUAACACGUGAGUAACCUGCCCUUGACUUUGGGAUAACUUCAGGAAACUGGGGCUAAUACCGGAUAGGAGCUCCUGCUGCAUGGUGGGGGUUGGAAAGUUUCGGCGGUUGGGGAUGGACUCGCGGCUUAUCAGCUUGUUGGUGGGGUAGUGGCUUACCAAGGCUUUGACGGGUAGCCGGCCUGAGAGGGUGACCGGCAGCAGCGGGAGUGAGUUCCAGGCGGGAGGCAGCAGGGAGGGAGGAGUGGGGGAGGGGGAGGAAGGGGUGGGAGGUUGAUGCAGCACCGCCGCGUGAGGGAGGAGGGGGUUCGGGGUGUAACACGGUUUCGCCUGUGAAGAAGCGUGAAUGACGGUAAUGGGUAAAGAAGCAAGCGCUAACUACGUG